UCGAGGGGCAGCGGUGGUGAAGGCUUGCCUUUACCAGCCGGCGACCGGCGCACGGGUGAGUAACACGUAUGCAACCUGCCUGCCACAGCCGGAUAAUCGGGAGAAAUUCCGUCUAAUACGGCAUAAUGCACCUAUGGGACAUCCUGUUGGUGCCAAAGGUUGAUUCCGGUGGCGGAUGGGCAUGCGUCGCAUUAGUUAGUUGGCGGUGUAACGGACCACCAAGACGACGAUGCGUAGGGGUUCUGAGAGGAAGGUCCCCCACACUGGUACUGAGACACGGACCAGACUCCUACGGGAGGCAGCAGUGAGGAAUAUUGGUCAAUGGGCGGGAGCCUGAACCAGCCAAGUCGCGUGAGGGAUGACGGCCCUAUGGGUUGUAAACCUCUUUUGCCGGGGAGCAAAGUGCCGCACGUGUGCGGUUUGGAGAGUACCCGGAAAAAAAGCAUCGGCUAACUCCGUGCCAGCAGCCGCGGUAAUACGGAGGAUGCGAGCGUUAUCCGCGAUUUAUUGGGGUUUAAAGCCUCCCCACCCCCACCCUUAAGUCCCCCACGAAAUCGCCGGGCUCAACCUCGUCGAGCCCCCCCCCCCGGGUGCCUUGAGUGGGCGAGAACCCCCCCCCCCCCCUGGUGUAGCGGUGAAAUGCAU
This 645-nucleotide ribosomal RNA is filed under the name uncultured bacterium. RNAcentral's name for it is "partial 16S ribosomal RNA". It matches the Rfam family "Bacterial small subunit ribosomal RNA", at positions 62 to 691 of the family's 1533-position model. The record is from RNAcentral.